UGCAAUAGGAACAGGUAUAUGUUCUAUAACAUCUAUACUUUAGUUGGAAAUGGCAGCUUCACUGAACUGCAUCAGUUGUAAGCUUCCCUAAAUUCAUACAUAUCUAUAACGUAGGGCACUUCUACCUCCCUGUAGUAAUAAAGAAGUAUACUGUAAAUUCAUAGAUGAUUAAUACUAUUUCGUUUGCAGGUUCGGCCAAUUCCUUUGAGGUAUUAACAAGUAGCCGAGCUUUUGGUGUCAUCUCUACUCAGGGAAAAACAUGGCAAAUCCUCAUACAAAAUGUUGAUCUAUUGUUCUUCUAUAAUUAUAGAUUUCCGAAUAAUUAGAUGGCCAGUUAUGCAACACAAUAUUCCCACAGUAUUGAAAUCUUCAGAUCUGCAAAGUGUCCUUUAGCAAAUGGCGUUUGAACUUAAUAUGGGAUACUCCAAAUCCAUAAGAGCAGGCUAUAUCUGAUAUUUUCUGAAUACAGAGUCGGUAGACUUGAUUUAUGUUUUCCCCUACUUGUCAAUAUGAUGGCCCGUUGUAAAUAAAUAAGCCUUGGCCAUCACUUAUACUUGGCCAUCACUUAUACUUGGGAACUACUUUUCAGUGACAACUGUAUUGACGAAGAUACUUUUUUUCUUAAAUAUUUAUUUCCUCAGUGGUGUGUGUUUUAGUUUACAGUUUUGAUAAGAUUCCAUGGCCAAUACACUUUUUUUCUUGACAGGGAACUACGACGGGCUUACGCCUACCUGAACUAUAUUCGAAACUAUCAGAGUUCACAGCAGAUUACAGCAGCCUUAAAGAUCGUUGGCCAUUAAUGGUUAUCUAUGGCACUAAAACUUGUUGAUCUCAACACAUUCACCUCACAAAACUUGUUGGCAGAAACAUGUGCAUUAGCACCAAAGAAGUGAGGUCAAAUUAAUGAGGAGUUGUGUGAUCUGAGGAGAAACUAUUCUCUUGCAAAUCAGAUAGUUGUCGUAGGAAUUACAAGGCACAUGAUUGUAACUGAUAAUUCGUUUCUACACAUUCCUCGACCCUAAUGUCUACAUGAGGUGUGAGUUCAACGCAACGAGGAAAUCACAUUACUAUAAGAAUGGUAGGUAGAAUCACGGUGAUUCAUGCAAAAGCUCACUAAAUUUAUCAUAUAAUGAAGCAUAUAAUUUAUCAGAUGC
Molecule: long non-coding RNA, 1154 nt
Organism: Triticum dicoccoides
Lineage: Eukaryota; Viridiplantae; Streptophyta; Magnoliopsida; Poales; Poaceae
Exons: 3
Source: RefSeq, a predicted model, not a curated record